Molecule: non-coding RNA, 187 nt
Organism: Anopheles gambiae str. PEST
Lineage: Eukaryota; Metazoa; Arthropoda; Insecta; Diptera; Culicidae
Rfam family: drz-agam-2-2 ribozyme
Source: Rfam
AUGUUUAUUAGCUCUGUGAUGGGAUGGGAUCUGAAGCCCUUGUGAGGCUCUCCCAUCCAACACCUAUUCCGACACGUCCUCGUCGUGAACAGUGGUAACGUGUCCCAAGUGCCACAAAUCCACUAAACGACCACUAAACGGCUUCUAAACGACUCAAGUUCUCUACCUAAACGGAAUAUAGAAAGAC